RNAcentral lists this ribosomal RNA (506 nucleotides) under uncultured bacterium. Its description in RNAcentral is "partial 16S ribosomal RNA". It matches the Rfam family "Bacterial small subunit ribosomal RNA", at positions 30 to 523 of the family's 1533-position model. The record is from RNAcentral.
AUUGAACGCUGGCGGCAGGCCUAACACAUGCAAGUCGAACGGUAACAGGAAACAGCUUGCUGUUUCGCUGACGAGUGGCGGACGGGUGAGUAAUGUCUGGGAAACUGCCUGCUGGAGGGGGAUAACUACUGGAAACGGUAGCUAAUACCGCAUAACGUCGCAAGACCAAAGAGGGGGACCUUCGGGCCUCUUGCCAUCGGAUGUGCCCAGAUGGGAUUAGCUAGUAGGUGGGGUAACGGCUCACCUAGGCGACGAUCCCUAGCUGGUCUGAGAGGAUGACCAGCCACACUGGAACUGAGACACGGUCCAGACUCCUACGGGAGGCAGCAGUGGGGAAUAUUGCACAAUGGGCUCAAGCCUGAUGCAGCCAUGCCGCGUGUAUGAAGAAGGCCUUCGGGUUGUAAAGUACUUUCAGCGGGGAGGAAGGGAGUAAAGUUAAUACCUUUGCUCAUUGACGUUACCCGCAGAAGAAGCACCGGCUAACUCCGUGCCAGCAGCCGCGGUAA